RNAcentral lists this ribosomal RNA (484 nucleotides) under uncultured bacterium. RNAcentral describes it as "partial 16S ribosomal RNA". It matches the Rfam family "Bacterial small subunit ribosomal RNA", at positions 30 to 507 of the family's 1533-position model. The record is from RNAcentral.
AUUGAACGCUGGCGGCAGGCCUAACACAUGCAAGUCGAGCGGAUGAAGGGAGCUUGCUCCUGGAUUCAGCGGCGGACCGGUGAGUAAUGCCUAGGAAUCUGCCUGGUAGUGGGGGAUAACGUCCGGAAACGGGCGCUAAUACCGCAUACGUCCUGAGGGAGAAAGUGGGGGAUCUUCGGACCUCACGCUAUCAGAUGAGCCUAGGUCGGAUUAGCUAGUUGGUGGGGUAAAGGCCUACCAAGGCGACGAUCCGUAACUGGUCUGAGAGGAUGAUCAGUCACACUGGAACUGAGACACGGCCCAGACUCCUACGGGAGGCAGCAGUGGGGAAUAUUGGACAAUGGGCGAAAGCCUGAUCCAGCCAUGCCGCGUGUGUGAAGAAGGUCUUCGGAUUGUAAAGCACUUUAAGUUGGGAGGAAGGGCAGUAAGUUAAUACCUUGCUGUUUUGACGUUACCAACAGAAUAAGCACCGGCUAACUUCGUG